UCAAUAGACGGCUAGGGUUCCGGUCUGCGCGAGCGGGUGUCUGGUCCGAGAGCUAUCGACCCCUUUGAGGGGUUACACGGCGGGACAAAAGCCCUGGAGAU
This 101-nucleotide small RNA is filed under the name Serpentinimonas raichei. RNAcentral's name for it is "Comamonadaceae bacterium A1 Guanidine-I riboswitch aptamer". It matches the Rfam family "Guanidine-I riboswitch aptamer". From Rfam's summary of the family: This family represents a conserved RNA structure found upstream of the ykkC and yxkD genes in Bacillus subtilis and related genes in other bacteria. The record is from Rfam by way of RNAcentral. Lineage: Bacteria; Pseudomonadati; Pseudomonadota; Betaproteobacteria; Burkholderiales; Comamonadaceae. RNAcentral also lists the same sequence under 1 other name.